This 279-nucleotide ribosomal RNA is filed under the name uncultured bacterium. RNAcentral describes it as "partial 16S ribosomal RNA". It matches the Rfam family "Bacterial small subunit ribosomal RNA", at positions 506 to 784 of the family's 1533-position model. The record is from RNAcentral.
UGCCAGCAGCCGCGGUAAUACUGAAGGUGCAAGCGUUAAUCGGAAUCACCGGGCGUAAAGCGCUCGUAGGCGGCUUUGUAAGUCAGAUGUGAAAGCCCGGGGCUCAACCCCGGAAGUGCAUUUGAAACCGCAAGACUUGAGUAUGGGAGAGGGUGGUGGAAUUCCUGGUGUAGGAGUAAAAUCCGUAGAGAUCAGAAGGAACACCGGUGGCGAAGGCGACUUCCUGGACUAUUACUGACACUGAGGAGCGAAAGCGUGGGGAGCAAACAGGAUUAGAUA